GGUUAAGCGACUAAGCGUACACGGUGGAUGCCCUGGCAGUCAGAGGCGAUGAAGGACGUGCUAAUCUGCGAUAAGCGUCGGUAAGGUGAUAUGAACCGUUAUAACCGGCGAUUUCCGAAUGGGGAAACCCAGUGUGAUUCGUCACACUAUCAUUAACUGAAUCCAUAGGUUAAUGAGGCGAACCGGGGGAACUGAAACAUCUAAGUACCCCGAGGAAAAGAAAUCAACCGAGAUUCCCCCAGUAGCGGCGAGCGAACGGGGAGGAGCCCAGAGCCUGAAUCAGUGUGUGUGUUAGUGGAAGCGUCUGGAAAGGCGCGCGAUACAGGGUGACAGCCCCGUACACAAAAAUGCACAUGCUGUGAGCUCGAUGAGUAGGGCGGGACACGUGGUAUCCUGUCUGAAUAUGGGGGGACCAUCCUCCAAGGCUAAAUACUCCUGACUGACCGAUAGUGAACCAGUACCGUGAGGGAAAGGCGAAAAGAACCCCGGCGAGGGGAGUGAAAAAGAACCUGAAACCGUGUACGUACAAGCAGUGGGAGCACAGAGCAAUCUGUGUGACUGCGUACCUUUUGUAUAAUGGGUCAGCGACUUAUAUUCUGUAGCAAGGUUAACCGAAUAGGGGAGCCGAAGGGAAACCGAGUCUUAACUGGGCGUUAAGUUGCAGGGUAUAGACCCGAAACCCGGUGAUCUAGCCAUGGGCAGGUUGAAGGUUGGGUAACACUAACUGGAGGACCGAACCGACUAAUGUUGAAAAAUUAGCGGAUGACUUGUGGCUGGGGGUGAAAGGCCAAUCAAACCGGGAGAUAGCUGGUUCUCCCCGAAAGCUAUUUAGGUAGCGCCUCGUGAAUUCAUCUCCGGGGGUAGAGCACUGUUUCGGCAAGGGGGUCAUCCCGACUUACCAACCCGAUGCAAACUGCGAAUACCGGAGAAUGUUAUCACGGGAGACACACGGCGGGUGCUAACGUCCGUCGUGAAGAGGGAAACAACCCAGACCGCCAGCUAAGGUCCCAAAGUCAUGGUUAAGUGGGAAACGAUGUGGGAAGGCCCAGACAGCCAGGAUGUUGGCUUAGAAGCAGCCAUCAUUUAAAGAAAGCGUAAUAGCUCACUGGUCGAGUCGGCCUGCGCGGAAGAUGUAACGGGGCUAAACCAUGCACCGAAGCUGCGGCAGCGACGCUUAUGCGUUGUUGGGUAGGGGAGCGUUCUGUAAGCCUGUGAAGGUGUACUGUGAGGUAUGCUGGAGGUAUCAGAAGUGCGAAUGCUGACAUAAGUAACGAUAAAGCGGGUGAAAAGCCCGCUCGCCGGAAGACCAAGGGUUCCUGUCCAACGUUAAUCGGGGCAGGGUGAGUCGACCCCUAAGGCGAGGCCGAAAGGCGUAGUCGAUGGGAAACAGGUUAAUAUUCCUGUACUUGGUGUUACUGCGAAGGGGGGACGGAGAAGGCUAUGUUGGCCGGGCGACGGUUGUCCCGGUUUAAGCGUGUAGGCUGGUUUUCCAGGCAAAUCCGGAAAAUCAAGGCUGAGGCGUGAUGACGAGGCACUACGGUGCUGAAGCAACAAAUGCCCUGCUUCCAGGAAAAGCCUCUAAGCAUCAGGUAACAUCAAAUCGUACCCCAAACCGACACAGGUGGUCAGGUAGAGAAUACCAAGGCGCUUGAGAGAACUCGGGUGAAGGAACUAGGCAAAAUGGUGCCGUAACUUCGGGAGAAGGCACGCUGAUAUGUAGGUGAAGUCCCUCGCGGAUGGAGCUGAAAUCAGUCGAAGAUACCAGCUGGCUGCAACUGUUUAUUAAAAACACAGCACUGUGCAAACACGAAAGUGGACGUAUACGGUGUGACGCCUGCCCGGUGCCGGAAGGUUAAUUGAUGGGGUUAGCGCAAGCGAAGCUCUUGAUCGAAGCCCCGGUAAACGGCGGCCGUAACUAUAACGGUCCUAAGGUAGCGAAAUUCCUUGUCGGGUAAGUUCCGACCUGCACGAAUGGCGUAAUGAUGGCCAGGCUGUCUCCACCCGAGACUCAGUGAAAUUGAACUCGCUGUGAAGAUGCAGUGUACCCGCGGCAAGACGGAAAGACCCCGUGAACCUUUACUAUAGCUUGACACUGAACAUUGAGCCUUGAUGUGUAGGAUAGGUGGGAGGCUUUGAAGUGUGGACGCCAGUCUGCAUGGAGCCGACCUUGAAAUACCACCCUUUAAUGUUUGAUGUUCUAACGUUGACCCGUAAUCCGGGUUGCGGACAGUGUCUGGUGGGUAGUUUGACUGGGGCGGUCUCCUCCUAAAGAGUAACGGAGGAGCACGAAGGUUGGCUAAUCCUGGUCGGACAUCAGGAGGUUAGUGCAAUGGCAUAAGCCAGCUUGACUGCGAGCGUGACGGCGCGAGCAGGUGCGAAAGCAGGUCAUAGUGAUCCGGUGGUUCUGAAUGGAAGGGCCAUCGCUCAACGGAUAAAAGGUACUCCGGGGAUAACAGGCUGAUACCGCCCAAGAGUUCAUAUCGACGGCGGUGUUUGGCACCUCGAUGUCGGCUCAUCACAUCCUGGGGCUGAAGUAGGUCCCAAGGGUAUGGCUGUUCGCCAUUUAAAGUGGUACGCGAGCUGGGUUUAGAACGUCGUGAGACAGUUCGGUCCCUAUCUGCCGUGGGCGCUGGAGAAUUGAGGGGGGCUGCUCCUAGUACGAGAGGACCGGAGUGGACGCAUCACUGGUGUUCGGGUUGUCAUGCCAAUGGCACUGCCCGGUAGCUAAAUGCGGAAGAGAUAAGUGCUGAAAGCAUCUAAGCACGAAACUUGCCCCGAGAUGAGUUCUCCCUGACUCCUUGAGAGUCCUGAAGGAACGUUGAAGACGACGACGUUGAUAGGCCGGGUGUGUAAGCGCAGCGAUGCGUUGAGCUAACCGGUACUAAUGAACCGUGAGGCUUAACCUU
This 2906-nucleotide ribosomal RNA is filed under the name Escherichia coli. RNAcentral's name for it is "23S ribosomal RNA". It matches the Rfam family "Bacterial large subunit ribosomal RNA". Lineage: Bacteria; Pseudomonadati; Pseudomonadota; Gammaproteobacteria; Enterobacterales; Enterobacteriaceae. The record is from RNAcentral.